Long non-coding RNA from Beta vulgaris subsp. vulgaris (sugar beet), 1026 nucleotides. RefSeq lists it as uncharacterized. NCBI's taxonomy places the organism in Eukaryota, Viridiplantae, Streptophyta, Magnoliopsida, Caryophyllales, Amaranthaceae. The record is from RefSeq and is a predicted model, not a curated record. The transcript is spliced from 2 exons.
UAGAAAAAGGUCAAUUUGCGUCGGCCCAUUUGCGUCGCACAAACACGGAAACGAUGCAAAUAUACUAUUUGCGUCGCAUGUAACAAUGAAUCGACGCAUAAGACGAACUAUGUGCGUCGUAUCUAAAUAUUGUGCGAUGCAAAUCAUCUAUGUGCGUCGCAUGAAGGUCAUGGUGCGACGCACAAAACAAAGUAAUCUGCGUCGGACCCCUUAGCCCAUCCGACGCAGAUCAGCCCAAAAGCCCAAUUUAUUUCUAACCCCAUAACCAGCGCCCCUCUUAACAUUACUCAAAACCCUAAAGCUUCAAAACCAACCCGCCUCCCUUUCGUCCCUCUCAACCCGCCUCCCUCUCUUUCUCUCUCCCUUUCGUCCCUCUCAACCCGCCUCCCUCUCUUUCUCUCUCACUUUCUCUCUCACUUUCGUCCCUCUCUUUGUCUCUCACUUUCGUCCGACGAUCUGCUUCAGUUCGCAUCAACCGCCGAUCGAAACUUCGACGCCAUGACCUUCAGUGAGCGAUCUUCAGCGUCGACGACACUAACACCAGCAACAACACUUCGAACAACUGACGAAUCUUCAGCGGACGAACGAAUCUUCAGAAUUCAGAUCUUGUUUGAAGACCUCGUUUUUUCAUUUCCGUGAAUUUUUUCGAAGAUUUCCGUGAAUUUUCGAAGAACUCAUUUUUUCAUCCUAAAAUCUCCAGGUAACUUCUUUUUUUUUCUUGUUAUUCGCCUGUUUUAAUUUUUCGCAAUUUUUUCAUUUUUUCAGAUGUUGUUUGAAAUCUUCGUUUUUUUAAUUUUCGUGAAUUCCAGAUGUGUUCGAAGUAUAACAACGAGAAGGAAGAUCAAGAUGUGAAGGAAGCUCCAACAUUUUUUUUAACUAUAUAUUGAUAGAUUUGUUUUUUAUGAAUUAUUGUAAUAUAUAUGUUCUAAAAUUCGAAGCAUUUUCGUUUUUAUUUUUCCAGAUCUGGUCGAAUUUUUGUACAGUAUUGUUAUUAGUUUUAUUUGAUUUUCAAUCCUCUAUCUCUUA